GUUAAAAAGCUCGUAGUUGGAUUUCUGUGGGGGCGGAGCGGCCGGCCGCAACUUGCGGUUCGAGCUAGCGCUUCCCCUACAUCCUGCCGCGAACCGUGCUACCAUUAGUUUGGUGGCGCCGGGGAUCGGCUCGUUUACUUUGAGAAAAAUAGAGUGUUCAAAGCAGGCCACACGCCUUGAAUAAGUUAGCAUGGAAUAAUAAUAAAGGACUUCGGUUCUAUUUUGUUGGUGUUCGGGACUGAAGUAAUGAUUGAUAGGGACAGUUGGGGCGGUCAGUAUUCCAAAGCGAGAGGUGAAAUUCUUAGACCUUCGGAAGACUAACAGCUGCGAAAGCGUUCCGCAAGGAUGUUCCCUUUGAUCAAGAACGAAAGUUGGGGGAUCGAAGACGAUCAGAUACCGUCGUAGUCUCAACUAUAAACUAUACCAGCUAGGGAUCGGUCAACGUUAAAUUAUUCGACUUGAUCGGCACCUUAUGAGAAAUCAAAGCAUCUGGGUUCCGGGGGGAGUAUGGUCGCAAGGCUGAAACUUAAAGGAAUUGACGGAAGGGCACCACCAGCCGUGGAGCCUGUGGCUUAAUUUGACUCAACACGGGAAAACUUACCAGGUCCAGACAUAGUAAGGAUUGACAGAUCGAUAGCUCUUUC
Molecule: ribosomal RNA, 644 nt
Filed under: uncultured marine eukaryote
Lineage: Eukaryota
Description: SSU rRNA
Rfam family: Eukaryotic small subunit ribosomal RNA
Source: RNAcentral